GAUGUACUCCCUUCGCCCCAAAAUUCUUGUCUUAGAUUUGUCUACAUAUGGAUGUAUCUAGUCACAUCUUACUGUUAGAUACAUUCGUAUCUAGAUAAAUUGAAGACAAGAAUUUUGGGACGGAGGGAGUAUCAA
Non-coding RNA from Triticum aestivum (bread wheat), 135 nucleotides. The record is from Rfam. Lineage: Eukaryota; Viridiplantae; Streptophyta; Magnoliopsida; Poales; Poaceae.